Triplophysa rosa is the source of this 218-nucleotide long non-coding RNA. RefSeq lists it as uncharacterized. The record is from RefSeq and is a predicted model, not a curated record. Lineage: Eukaryota; Metazoa; Chordata; Actinopteri; Cypriniformes; Nemacheilidae. The transcript has 3 exons.
UGAAGAUAUCAGGUUGCAUUUAAACAGGUGGACAACAAACUGCUGGCAUGCAUCUACAUACUAACCUAUCUGUGUUCAGUUGGGUGAAGACGCUCUGUGCCACCGUGUGAGGAUUCGUGGAUGACUUGUGGUUGUUUCUUCAUCAGAAAGUGUCGUGAAGCAACAGUAGCUGUGUAAUUCAGGGCCACACGGACUCGAGCCGGUCAUAACAAAACCUG